GUAGUAUUCCCUCUAUCCCAAAAUUCUUGUCUUACAUUUGUUUAGAUACGGAUGUAUCUAACACUAAAAUGUAACUAGAUACAUCCAUAUUUAGACAAAUUUAAGACAAGAAUUUUGGGACGGAGGGAGUACAAA
Molecule: non-coding RNA, 135 nt
Organism: Triticum aestivum (bread wheat)
Lineage: Eukaryota; Viridiplantae; Streptophyta; Magnoliopsida; Poales; Poaceae
Source: Rfam